This 22-nucleotide non-coding RNA is filed under the name Arabidopsis thaliana (thale cress). The record is from RNAcentral. Lineage: Eukaryota; Viridiplantae; Streptophyta; Magnoliopsida; Brassicales; Brassicaceae.
CAACAGUUGGUUUGUCACGGCU